AGCUCCAAUAGCGUAUAUUAAAGUUGUUGCAGUUAAAAAGCUCGUAGUUGGAUUUGUGGUUCGUCCCGCCGGCUGGGCCUUUUGGCCUUUGCUGUGCUGGUCGUCCAUCCUUGGGUGGAAUCUGUGUGGCAUUAGGUUGUCGCGCAGGGGAUGCCCAUCGUUUACUGUGAAAAAAUUAGAGUGUUCAAAGCAGGCUUAUGCCGUUGAAUAUAUUAGCAUGGAAUAAUGAUAUAGGACCUUGGUACUAUUUUGUUGGUUUGCGCACUGAGGUAAUGAUUAAUAGGGACAGUUGGGGGUAUUCGUAUUCCAUUGUAAGAGGUGAAAUUCUUGGAUUUUUGGAAGACGAACUACUGCGAAAGCAUUUACCAAGGAUGUUUUCAUUAAUCAAGAACGAAAGUAC
RNAcentral lists this ribosomal RNA (400 nucleotides) under phytoplankton environmental sample. RNAcentral's name for it is "partial small subunit ribosomal RNA". It matches the Rfam family "Eukaryotic small subunit ribosomal RNA", at positions 587 to 992 of the family's 1831-position model. The record is from RNAcentral.